Molecule: long non-coding RNA, 2565 nt
Filed under: Homo sapiens (human)
Lineage: Eukaryota; Metazoa; Chordata; Mammalia; Primates; Hominidae
Description: HSALNT0182284
Source: RNAcentral
GGGAAGGCCAAUGGAGAGAGACACCAAAGGAGAGCUGUGGGGACAGCAGAAGCUGGGGUGGAGCGCCCAGCUCGUCCCUUUCAGCACUGUGGUGCAGGGAUCCGUGGAGGCCGUGCAGCCAGGGGUUCUGAGAAGUGCUUCUUCCAGCACCUGUUUCACCAGGGCCACAACACGUGUUCCAAAUGCCACUUUUGCCCAUCUCCUGCUACAGCUCAGGAGAAGUGGGAGGACCUGUGUAUCAUGCAUAUAAUCUCCCAGAGGGUGCGACAGAUCACGCCCCUCACUGUGCGCCUUCUCUAAAUCCAUCACCCUGGAAAUUUUACGUGGUGUCAUCAGCUGAAUUAACACCUGUUAAAAUCAUCAUUCCCACCAGACUCAAAACUGCAAGUGCUUUUAAUGAGGCUCCACAUAAAAUAAUACAUUUUCUCAGAGCCCUUAAAUUACAUUAAAUCCUCCACACCAAAUAAAUUAUUGAAACUGCGAUUAGAGUUUGGAUCAUACCAACAGACCUGCUCGGAGGCAAAUUUUCAAACUGCCCAACCACCUAAGCAAAGAGAUUCUCAAAGCAAUCCUGUAUGGUGAGAAUUAUUUUUAUUUUACCGACAAAGCUGCUGAAGAUCAGAGACAUUGAGUUACUCAUAGAAGAUAUACAGACAGAGCCAAGAUUCAAAUCCCUUGGGUGUCUGGCUCCAAAGUGGAAAUUUUCUCCACGGUGCCAAAGGACUCAUAAACAGAAUGUACAAAGGACUCUUACAAAUCAGUAAUAAAAGGACAAUCAAUGUUUUUAAACAAGCAGAAGACUUCGAUAAACACCACAUAAAAGAGAAUGCAUGCAUGGCCAAUGAGAACAUAAAAAAGAUGCUCAGCGUUGUUGGUCGUCAGGGAAGUGCAGAUUGAAAAUGCAAUGGGAUACCACUACACACCCGCCAGAAUGGUUAAAAUUUAAAAAUUUUAACAGUACCAAAUGUUAGAGAGGCUGUGAAGCAGCAGGAUGUUUUAUGCAUGGCCAGCAAAAGUAUAAAAUGGUAGAGCCAUUUGGAAAACUGGCAUUUUCUCAUAAAUAUUCACCUAUCAUGUGAUCUAAAAAUUCCAAAAGAAAUGAAACUAUAUGUCUACAAAAAAAGUUGGAUAAGAAUAUUCAUUGUAGCUUUAUUUCUUUUGUUGUUGUUGUUGAAACAGAGUCUCGCUCUGCCGCCCAGGCUGGAGUGCAGUGGAGCCGUCUCAGCUCACUGCAACCUCUGCCUCCCGGGUUCAAGCAAUUCUUGUGCCUCAGCCUCCCAGGUAGCUGGGACUACAGGCACGUGCCACCACACCUGGCUAAUUUUUGUAUUUUUAGUAGAGAUGGGGUUUCGCCAUAUUGGCCAGGCUGCUCUCGAACUCCUGACCUUGUGAUCCGCCUGCCUCGGCCUCCCAAAGUGCUGGGAUUACAGGCAUGAGCCACCGCACCUGGCCAUGGCUUUAUUUCUAAAAGCCAAACUUUGGAAACAAUGCCAAUGUCUAUCAAUAGACUAAAGAGAUAAAUUGAGAUUUUUCAUACUGUGAGAUAUUGCCCCACAAUAAAAAGGAGCAAACUAUUAAUGCAUACAACAACGUAGAUGAAUCUCAACAAUAUUAUGUUAAAUGAGAAGCACCAGACACAAAAGAGUACACACAAUGAACGACUCCACUUAUGUGAAGUCUAGCAACAGGAAAAACUCAUCUAUGGAAAUAGAAAUCAGAAUAGUCAUUGCCUGUGAGAAUGUAGAGGGAGGGUGGGCCACAGGAAAGGAGCAUGGGAAAAUUUUUUGGGUGAUGGCAAUUUUCACAUUUUGAUUAAACAAUUAAGUUUAAUCAAAUUAUACACUUAAGGUCUGUGCAUUUUACCAUAUGUAAUUAUGCUUUGAAUAAAAAUAAAUUAAAAUAAAGGGAUGAAAUGAGUUGCUUCUUCCAGUAUUAUGCUUUGGCACUGGAAGUAUUUAAGCUAGACUAAUGCUUAUCAGAGAUAUUGUGGACGGUUCAAAUUGGGAGUUCUGAUUAAGUAAUAAAAAACAAGCCCUCAGAUUUUAAGACUUCGGUGUGAUACUUGAUAUGUAAUGCUGAACUAAUCAUGUAUUUCGGAAUAGGCAAAACCUGCGUUCAUCUUCUAUUUUGGAGAACUCCACGUAGAUAUGGAAACUUAUGUUACCGAAAACUUUCUUGAAUCUGUUUAUUUUUCUUUUCUGAAAUUCUUCCCCUAUUUACCAUUACCUCUAACUACUUGCCUCCUGAAACGCAAACCUUUAGCCACUCUAUGUUCCUGUAUCUUAGAACAUGUGGUGUUUGCACAUUUCCUUUGUUAAACAUCCUCCCUACUCCCACUUCCCAUCAACUUCUGCCCUUCCUUGAAACUACACAGAAGUCAACUGCACCAGUAAGACUCCCCUAUAAGCCCUGUGGCCCACAGUUUUAGUCUAUUUUUGAGUCUAGAUUACCUGUAGUAUAGCAAUUAUCCCAGGCUAAAUGAUGCCAAGGUCCCUUCCCGCUCAAAGAGUCUGGCUCUUUGAACAGGGGAAUCUGGGCUUGAAGAAUGAAGAGAAACAACCAAGC